Long non-coding RNA from Diceros bicornis minor, 5145 nucleotides. RefSeq lists it as uncharacterized. NCBI's taxonomy places the organism in Eukaryota, Metazoa, Chordata, Mammalia, Perissodactyla, Rhinocerotidae. The transcript is spliced from 3 exons. The record is from RefSeq and is a predicted model, not a curated record.
AAUAGUAUCUCCCUGUUCAUUUAAUUGGCAUUUCUUGAUAAUUCCUGAGCUAGAGCAUCUUUUCAGAUAUUUAUUGGCCAUUUGUAUAUCCAUAUUUGUAAGUUCAAACCUCUUACGUAGUUGUCUUUUGUGUUGAUUGCUUUAUAUACUUUGGAUAAGAGUUCUUUAUCCAUAAACGAUGUCAAAUAUUUCCUUUCUGUCUGAGGUUUACCUUUUCACUCUUUUAAUGGGUCUCUGGAUUAAUAAAGGUUCUUAAUGUAUAUACAGAGCUAAUAUCAAUUUUUUUCUUUUUUGGCUAGUGCUAACUUCUUGAUAGAGUUAUUUAACUUCUGGAUUUUGGUCUUUAUUUUUCUUUCUUCCAAUGUAUGCAUUCAAGGCUAUAAAUGAGCCUUUAAGCAUACCUUUAAUUGGAUUUUGUAAGUUUUCAUGUGGAUUAUUUUCCAUGUCAUUCACUUUAUACUAGAUUUUAAUUUACAAUGAUGUUUUAUUUUUUCUUUGACACUUGUGUUAGUUGGAAGUAUAUUGUUUAAUUUCCAAACAUAUGAAUAUUUUUCUAGUCAUCCUUUCAUUGUUGAUUUCUGAUUUAUUUCAUUGUGGUCAGAGACCAUACUCUGUGUGAAUUCAAUACUUUGAAAGUUGGUGGGACUCUGAGAAGGAUAAAAUUUUGGAAAUGUUCCACGUGGGCUUAUAAGACAACACAAGCAACAUCUCAUUUAAGUUUUAUAGAAAAACUAAGAAAUUAGCACUACCAUUAUUCACAUUUACAGAUGAAGAAAUUAAAUGAGGUCAUACUUGUUAAAACAUUUGAAAAUAGAAACAGAUUUUUAAGUAAAUUAUCAUUAUCGCUUCAGAUUGUGUGAUUUCUUAUUCUUCUCUCGUUACUGACUCCGGGUGUUAAGUGAGUUAAGGAAAACUUUGCAGUUUGAAUGACUGUGGAAGCCUAGGUCUUUGCUGCCCAACUCGAUAGCCAUGGACCACAUAUGGCUGUUGAACACUUGAAAUGUGGCUAAUCCAAGUUGAGGUGUGCUGUAAAUAUAAAAUACACACCAGAUUUGGAAGACUUAGUAUGAGAAAAAAAGAAUUAAAACGUCUCGUUAAUUAUUUUUAUGUUAAUUACAUGGAAUAAUAAGCUUUGGGAUGUAUUGGGUUAAACAUAUUGUUAAAGUUAAUUUCACCUGUUUCUUUUUACUUUAUUAAUGCAGCUACCAGAAAAUUUGAAAUUCCCUCUGUGGCCAGCAUUCGUUGUUUGCAGGGUCCCUGAGAAGAUCUGGCCUGAGUGUUUCCUCUCACAAGGAAGUGUGGAAAUGGAGAGUGAUGGGCUGUGCACCCCUGAAGAUGUCACCAGGACAGCAUGUUCUCUGUUCUCCUCUCCCAUCUUCCUUAUCUUUGAGCUUCCCUUUGGGUUCAGGAUGGCUGCUGCACCUCCAGGCAUUACAUCAGCAUUCCAGCAAGAAGAAAAAAGGGGACGAAGCAUUGUCUUCAUCAGACUCUGUUCUUUUCUCAGGAAGAGAUGCCCUUCCCGGGUCGUCUGCUUACAGCUCAUUGUCCUGAAAUGAGGCCCAUGGUCUCCAUGAGCCAAAAAGGGGACUGGAGGCUGACCCCGCCAUCUGAGCACUCCACAUCCCUCUAUAAGGAGAGGGUGGAGGACCAGUGGGAGCUAGUUGUAUGCCAUACCGUUCUUCUUAGAGGAAAGAGCAUACCAUCUUGAGUUGGAAGUGUUUAAUGUAACUGUUCCAAAAUUCUGGAAAAGAAAUGAAGUAACAAAGCAUUUUUUCUAAAUUUUUGAAAAACUUUCAGAGUUUUUAUUGAAAGACUCACCAUAUAGUUUCACUAAAAUAUGCUAUUUUUUAAGCACUUGUUCAUGAGUUUUUCCCUAAGCUUGACAUUCAGCUCUAACCGUGUUGUCUUAUGGGAGCCUGUAGCAGCGAGUCUGUUCUAGUCUCCUGGUCGUCUUGUUCCUGAUCUCGUGAGGGGAAGGCGACCAGGGUUCUUAGAACAGAAGAGGCCUUUUCUCAGUCCCUCAGUUCCACUGCUGGGUCCAUUGUUACUGGCCCAGGUGACAUAUUUACAUACCCGACUGCUUCUUCAGCCUUCACUCUCCCAAAGGAAUCCUCCAGAAUCAGGGCCUUCCUUCCCUCUUCUUGCAGACUGCAACCACAGUCACAUGUUAUUUCCUUUUGUUUUCCACAAAUCCAGGCACUGCAUCGUUGAUGGCAAGUGUCCUCGAUGAAGUGGAGACUGCCAUGCAUGGCGAAAAUUGGCAGGGGUGGUUUUCAUGGAGACACAGCAAAGCGAAGUUGCCGCCCCUCAGAGCUGGACGCAUUAGACAAUAUUGCUGCAAUCGCCUUCCUUCUCUGCGCCUCUGGCUUUCCACAGCUGCACUUUCUUCUUUGCAAUCCUUGAGACGCAUGCAAGGAAGGUCCUGACCAGCAAAUGGGGUGACAAGCGCAAGAGAAAGAACAAGACUAGCGCAACCAAGUCCCUGCUUUUGAUUGCCUGCUGGCAUGAAAAAUUACAAAAUUCUUCACACUUUUGGUUAAGGAAUCAUUACCCACACAUUCACAUGUGAAUUUAUCCUGACCAAAUUAGUUUAAGCGGGAAGUUUAGUUUAUCUGAGAGGAUAAGUACCUUUGUCUCUUGGGGGUUAGAGGAGAGCCCUACAAUGGAUUACCCUCUUUCUCUCUCUCUCACACACACACACGUCACAUGCACAUAUGCACACUCUCACAUGCACACGUACCAUGUACACACAACACACAUCUAUGCACACACACAGUACAUACUCUCUCUCACACACACACACUCCCAGACACACUCUUACACACGUGCAUGCACAUGUACACAAUGAACACACCAUGCAUACACACAUGUACGUACAAACACACAUACGCUCUUUCACAUACACAUACAUGCACAUAGAUACACAUACAGACACACACCACACACGCAUAUGCAUAUAUGCACACUCUCGGUCUCACACACACAUACACAUACGCACACAGUUACAGGCACACACCAUGAUUAAAAGACUGGUGCAUAAUCUGGAGGUCACCUAAAAUUUUUGAAGCCCUUGCAUCUGCACUGAAAUUGCAGUCCACAUAUCCAGGCAUGCAGCAAAUAUCAAUGCUCUUAUUACCUAAAAUGCCACUUCAUUUCUAAUUCUGAGCUCCAAUCCCACUAAGGCUGUGGCAAAUCCAACAUCAACUAUUCUUGAGAUCCACACCCUUGGGUGUGUGCCUCAGUUUAGGAGUCUUGCACUGUGCCGAUAGGUUAUUUAACACAUAUUUACAUGGCCCGCACAUGUGUCAGCACUGUUCCAAGUGCUUUGUGAAUAUUAAUUUAUUGAAUCCUCUUGAUAAACUUAGCAAGAAGUACUGUUUUGUGAGUGAGGACCCUUGGGAACAGAGCUGCUGAGUGACUUGCCCGAGGCUGCACAGCAUUAUGUGGUGAGGUGGAAUCUGAACCCCUCAGCUGGCUCCGUGCUGUCUUCUCAACCAGACCUCUCCAGGCUUGAUGGUCUCCCUGCUGAGUUGGCCUGCUGGGUUACAAUGACUGCCAGGUUGGGACCCGUGAGUGUUUGAGAAGGUGCCUGUUGCCCUCAUUUUCCUAAACACACCUCGUAUCCCUGCUUUCUGUUCCUUCAUUUCAUGCCAAGAAGCAAGAACUGAUUCUGUCUCAUUUCAGAGUCUUAGACUUCCCCUCCCCCAUGCAGGGGACCCAUCCCCAUUUCUCCUGGGCACACUAUGAACAGGGGUCCUUUCUCUAUCCCAUGCAUUUCCAAGACACUGUUUUUGAAGACAUACUAAUUGUCAAAUUCCAUUCUCCCUUCCUUUUAAUCUCUUCCAAACUCUUCUGAGUUCUUCUAAAGGCUCACACUUUGGGAAGACACAUCCUUGCAGAGCUCAGAGGCCAAUUCUGUGUGAAGGGGAGAAGAGAGGAGGACACUGGAGAGAAAAAAAAUCCCUUGUAUGUGAACAUUUCAAAACAUCCAGCCACAAACAGAUGAUCUCGUUUAGAAUGCUUUUUCAUUAAAUUAUUCUGUUUCUUUUCUUCUUUUUGUUGGCCAAAAUCCUAGAUGUUUACCGUGGGUGGUUGAGAAGGGCUCGUGGAUACUGCCAAGAUCGGAAACAGCAAAGCGUCCCAAACCAAACUUUUGACCACUAAGCCCUUUCUUGCUUAAAGAGCCAGUGGAAAAGCCUUAUAAAGGAAUGGAACAUCAUAGCACAGCACACUGUCCAUAUCUCUUGCCUGAAAUAUAUAUUUCAAAGUGAUUGCUUUCCCCUAAAGCGGUCCUCACUAAGUGCCAAGGAGAGCGUGCAAUCUUGAACAGCGCGGUGAUGGAAUGAAAGCUGCAGUCGCGGGUGGAAGUUCUCCGGCAGGAGGUAAGGAUUCUGCAAGUCCAAUGCUGAAAUUUCCCUUACUCCACAAGAGAGGAACUCAACGGCUUUGUGACAAUGAUAGCUUGGCAGCUGGCCUUUGACACACCGUAGCCCAGUGACGGAAAUGCCCUUUUACCCAAGGUCUGGGUGUCCAUGAUGCCUGAGGGAAAAGCAUAGAGCAGCCUGGAGAAGGGAAACAGAAUUGUCAGUCAAACUUGCUGCCUUCUCUGUCCAAGGGUUUCUGCUGCGGUGAUCUUUGUGGGAUUCUCGCCAGCCGGGGCAUCUGGGCCACUCUGGUAGGUUUGUGUUCUCCAUUCCCCAGAAGUAAAGAGCAGUGUUUUAAUUUAGUGUCUGAAUGAUGGAAAGGCUUCUCCCAUAGAAGUCAUAAUACUCGUAGGGUAUUAAGUAAAUUAAAGUAGAUAUUAAAAAGGGAUCUAUAAAAAGGAAUUUAAAAAGAGAAAUUUGAAAUUUUUCAAGAUGCUGUUUAGUACAGAUUCAGUGUUUAAAUAAACCAAAAGUAUGACUUUCUAAUUUAUUUAAACAAUUUAAAAUGUAUCUAUACACACAUACCUUAAUUUUAUAUAUAUAUGAAUAUAUAAAUAUAUACAAAUUUCUUCCUCAAUAAGUAAUAUUAUCUUUCCCCAAUGAGUAAUGUACAAUCAGUAAAAGGUACAGCAUUUUCCCAAUUAGCAGACAUUUGGUCCUGUCCAAAACAUCCAGAAGACAUUUGGUCCAAGCCAAAAGGUCCUUGAUAUUUGGUCCUGUC